AUGGAGAAUCGGUCUUACUACGGCGGCAUCGGCAGCGGCAGCGGCAGCAAGAACCCGCCGCCGUCUGGGAAGGAGGCGGGGGAUGAGGAGUACGGGGGAGGGUACGACCGGCUGGACGAGGAGGUGGAGUUCCGGCUGCCGAGGGGGCACCGGCCGGUGGAGAACCUGGACACGGAGGGGCUGGAGCAGGCCUCCGUCGACACGCAGCUCGCCUCCUCCAACGUCGGCUUCAGGCUGCUGCAGAAGAUGGGAUGGAAGUCCGGCAAGGGCCUCGGCAAGAACGAGCAAGGUAUACUAGAGCCCAUAAAAGCCGGUAUCAGGGAUGCAAAAUUAGGAGUGGGGAAGCAAGAGCAGGAUGACUUCUUCACAGCUGAGGACAAUGUACAAAGAAAGAGAUUAAAUGUUGAACUUGAGGAGACUGAAGAGCAUAUUAAGAAGCGUGAGGUCACAGCAGAACGUGAGCAGAAAAUCCGCAGUGAGGUUAAGGAGAUACAGAAGACAUUCUUUUGCAGCCUCUGCAAUAAGCAAUACAAGCUGGCAUAUGAAUUUGAGAGUCAUCUAAGCUCAUAUGACCAUAAUCAUAGGAAGAGGUUCAAGGAAAUGAAAGAGAUGCAAAGCAGCAACAGUGGCAACCGUGAUGAUAGGCAGAAACGUGAGCAGCAGCGAGAAGAGAAGGAGCUGGCAAAAUUUGCCCAACUGGCAGAUGCUCAUAGAAAGCAGCAGAAAGAGAAGCAAGAACAGCCAGAUAUCUCAGGAGAGCAAGCUACGCCAAAGAACUUGCUGACCCCGGGCAAUCAGGAUCAGCGUCGAACAUUGAAGUUUGGCUUCUCCAAAAUGACCCCUUCCAAGGCACCUGUUGGCAACAUGAGCAAGAAGCCAAAGAUUGCCACGAAAGUCCCUUCCGUCUUCGGAAACGACAGCGAUGAGGAGGCAUGA
RNAcentral lists this ribosomal RNA (936 nucleotides) under Triticum aestivum (bread wheat). RNAcentral's name for it is "partial small subunit ribosomal RNA". The record is from RNAcentral. Lineage: Eukaryota; Viridiplantae; Streptophyta; Magnoliopsida; Poales; Poaceae.